CUGAGGUGGUGGAGAGGUCACUGAGGGGGAUGUGGUGGCACUGGGCACUUGUGAGGGGCUGAGGUCCUGGACAGGUCACUCUGAGGGGAUGUGGUGGCACUGGACCCUCAUGAGGGGCUGAGGUGGUGGACUGGUCACUCUGAGGUGGCACUGGGCACUUGUGAGGGGCCGAGGUCCUGGACAGGUCAGUCUGAAGGGAUGUGGUGGCACUGGACACUCCUGAGGGGAUGGGGAGGCCGAGGUGGGUGACCCUGUGUUGACCAUGGGGUCACUGUGCCCACCAUGAGCUGUCAGCUCUGCCUGUUCCCUUGGAACUGCCCCCCUGUUGGGGUUAAGUGGGAAUUAAGGAUGAGGAAUUGCAGGAAUUCCUGCUCCAGCUGUAAUUCCUGUCACACUUGCAAUAGCCCUGAGUGGAAGCUGAGCUGCUCUGGGCCUGCUAGGAUUCUCUGAGGUCAGAGAGGGGAGCAUCACAUUUCUACCUUUAAAUACAAAAGACUUUGGAUUUACCCUCAUUCUGUUCGAUCAGCACACAAUAAAUCCCUUUUAUGAGAAAUCUGUGUGUUGGGAAAGGCUGGAUAUGAAGUCCCUCUUCCCCUCCACGUUGAGAUGCAAAUAUAUAUCUUCUCUUAUAAAUAACUUGCAUUUUAUAUUCUUGCUUUUGGUGUAGGAUAAAGCCCAGCCUGAAUCAAUGUAUUCCAGAUCUGCAACUGCUGGGCUGAAACGAUGGAGACUGGAAAACAUCCCUGUCCUGGGAAUAUUGUGCAGCAAAAGGAGGAGGAAAAAACAAAUCCAGAGAAUCCACUUCUGCAGAGAGACUGAAUUAAUCUUGGUUUUGAGUAGAAUAAACUGUUCAGACCAAAGAGAACGGGGAGAAAGCGUGAAAUAACAUUUGAGGAUGAAAGUGGAACCAGAGUGGCGUGGAACAAAAAAAGCCCAGUACAAAGCCAGGGUUAAAUCCAUAGGGAAAAAUUUGGGAUUGAGUUUUUCCAGUGCAGCUGGGCCAUUUCUCCUGAGCUGCCACGAGAGGGACACAGAAGGAAAGCAAAAGGAGCUGGGAAGGGAAGAAUCCGAGGAAGAGCUCGAGGUGGGAUCACAGCAGCACAUUUCCCUUUUGUUUGGGAAUCACAGCAUUCCUACAGCUCCCAUAAAAUCCCUAAAAAAAUCCCUAAAAUCCUGAAUUCAUCCCGUAAAAUCCUAAAAGAUCUC
RNAcentral lists this long non-coding RNA (1206 nucleotides) under Junco hyemalis (dark-eyed junco). RNAcentral describes it as "lncRNA (ENSJHYG00000005816.1)". The record is from RNAcentral. Lineage: Eukaryota; Metazoa; Chordata; Aves; Passeriformes; Passerellidae.